CACGAAGUUAGCCGGGGCUUCUUCUCCGGUUACCGUCAUUAUCUUCACCGGCGAAAGAGCUUUACAACCCUAAGGCCUUCAUCACUCACGCGGCAUGGCUGGAUCAGGCUUGCGCCCAUUGUCCAAUAUUCCCCACUGCUGCCUCCCGUAGGAGUCUGGGCCGUGUCUCAGUCCCAGUGUGGCUGAUCAUCCUCUCAGACCAGCUACGGAUCGUCGCCUUGGUGAGCCUUUACCUCACCAACUAGCUAAUCCGACGCGGGUUCAUCCAAUGGCGAUAAAUCUUUCCCCCGAAGGGCACAUACGGUAUUAAUCCAAGUUUCCCUGGGUUAUUCCGUACCAUUGGGUAGAUCCCCACGUGUUACUCACCCGUCUGCCGCUCCCAUUGCUGGGCGCUCGACUUGCAUGUGUUAGGCCUGCCGCCAGCGUUCGCUCUGAGCCAGGAUCAAACUCU
Molecule: ribosomal RNA, 451 nt
Filed under: uncultured Xanthobacter sp.
Lineage: Bacteria; Pseudomonadati; Pseudomonadota; Alphaproteobacteria; Hyphomicrobiales; Xanthobacteraceae
Description: partial 16S ribosomal RNA
Source: RNAcentral